RNA transcript from Setaria italica (foxtail millet), 203 nucleotides. RefSeq lists it as uncharacterized. The record is from RefSeq and is a predicted model, not a curated record. The transcript is spliced from 3 exons. Lineage: Eukaryota; Viridiplantae; Streptophyta; Magnoliopsida; Poales; Poaceae.
AUUGUUGAUACCCUUUACUGUCACUACUUACUGAGAACCUUGCAUUGCUGAAUUAAAGAUGACACUUCUAGUUCAAUCACAAACAAUUUGGCAUGAACCAUGCUACCACCCUAUGGCGUUAAGAGCAGCUGACCAACUUGGUUCGCAUGAGCGAAGGAUAGCUCUGGUAAGUUUGUUCAGUCAUUUAUGGAAGCUGAGAACUU